CCUAAGGUAGCGAAAUUCCUUGUCGGGUAAGUUCCGACCUGCACGAAAGGCGCAACGACUUGGGCGCUGUCUCGACCAUGGACCCGGUGAAAUUGCACUGGUCGUGAAGAUGCGACUUACCCGCGGAAGGACGGAAAGACCCCGUGAACCUUCACUGCAGCUUGGCAUUGGCCGCUGGUCCCGCGUGUAGAGGAUAGGCAGGAGGCACAGAUCCGGAGGCGCCAGCCCCCGGGGAGCCGCCCUUGGAAUACUGCCCUCGCGCGACCGGCGUCCUAACCCGAGGCCGUCAACCGGCUCGGGGACCGUGCCAGGCGGGCAGUUUGACUGGGGCGGUCGCCUCCUAAAGGGUAACGGAGGCGCGCGAAGGUCCGCUCGGGACGGUCGGCAACCGUCCUUUUGAAUGCAAGAGUACAAGCGGGCUUGACUGCGAGGCCCACAAGCCGAGCAGGUGCGAAAGCAGGCUCUAGUGAUCCGGCGGCCCCGAGUGGGUGGGCCGUCGCUCAACGGAUAAAAGGUACUCCGGGGAUAACAGGCUGAUCUUGCCCAAGAGUCCACAUCGACGGCAAGGUUUGGCACCUCGAUGUCGGCUCAUCGCAUCCUGGGGCUGGAGCAGGUCCCAAGGGUACGGCUGUUCGCCGUUUAAAGCGGUACGCGAGCUGGGUUCAGAACGUCGUGAGACAGUUCGGUCCCUAUCCUCCGUGGGCGCAGGAGAAUCGAUGGAGGCUGCCCCCAGUACGAGAGGACCGGGGUGGACGCACCUCCGGUGAACCGGUUGUCGACCAACGGCACGGCCGGGUAGCCGCGUGCGGCGCGGAUAACCGCUGAAGGCAUCUAAGCGGGAAGCCGUUCCAGGGAUUAGUUCUCCUUCCGGUAAGGGCCCAGGUAGACUACCUGGUCGAUAGACGGCAGGUGCAAGGGCGGCGACGUCCUCAGCCGAGCCGCACUAAUCGCCCGAGCUCUUCCGGAA
RNAcentral lists this ribosomal RNA (967 nucleotides) under human gut metagenome. RNAcentral describes it as "bacterial LSU rRNA". It matches the Rfam family "Bacterial large subunit ribosomal RNA", at positions 1950 to 2925 of the family's 2925-position model. The record is from RNAcentral.